RNAcentral lists this ribosomal RNA (274 nucleotides) under uncultured bacterium. RNAcentral describes it as "partial 16S ribosomal RNA". It matches the Rfam family "Bacterial small subunit ribosomal RNA", at positions 523 to 796 of the family's 1533-position model. The record is from RNAcentral.
AUACGGAGGGUGCAAGCGUUAUCCGGAAUCAUAGGGUUUAAAGGGUCCGUAGGCGGGCAAUUAAGUCAGAGGUGAAAUCCCACAGCUCAACUGUGGAACUGCCUUUGAUACUGGUUGUCUUGAGUUACAGUGAAGUAGAUAGAAUGUGUAGUGUAGCGGUGAAAUGCUUAGAUAUUAAACGGAAUACCGAUUGCGAAGGCAGUCUACUAACUGUAUACUGACGCUAGUGGACGAAAGCGUGGGGAGCGAACAGGAUUAGAAACCCUAGUAGUCC